CAGGGAAAUACAAGAUGCAUGUAAACAUAAACCAAAUACAAAACAAAACAACCCAAAUCUUACAGUCUAGAAGCAUGCCAAGACAGAGCAUUUCUGCAGAGUCCCGUCAGACUGAUAAAGGACACCUGGAAAGUGGCAGGCCAAGGGGCUGGGUCCCCUUCCCAGGACACUGCAUGUUUGUGAUGAGAUUUGAAAAGCCCACCAUUGGAACUAUCAGAAACAUGGAGAAAGUUUAGCACCACCAUUGACCCUGGGAAUAUUUAGCACUCACAUAGACUGCACCGCAUGUAAUGUCCAUUUCUCCAGUUUCUCUGCUAGGGGGAAGAGGAAAAGACCUGGGCACCGUGGAGCCCACUAGGGGCUGGCCGGGCCGUGGGGGUGCCAUGAGGGAUCUCCAGCAGUUCUGGAGCCUCGGCGCCACCUGCCAGUGCAGUCAGCCACGCAGCCCACACAGCGGCUCCUGUGAUGGGCACUCACAUCGUCCUGCCCACCGUGCCCUCGCUGCAGACCGGCAGCCGGAACCACUGCAGGUAUAAAGGAGCCUCGUGUGGAGGGAGAGGCGGCGAGUGAGGCUGUCCUCCCAGGUGGACCUGACAGACCCCAGGCAUCAGUCUGGGGACGGUGCGUCCUCGCGGGGUGGCCAUCAUACUCACGCAUUGCUAAGUGAGCCCAGCUCUGCACUGCACGAAGGCCUCGGGCAGUGAGCUGGGAGCCUGGAAGAUGGAAGUGAGCCUGCAGAAACGGGCCUCUGACUCAGACUCGCCUUGCUUACAGCACUCCCCUUGCCCGCUGCACUGAGCAAAUCAAUAACCAUUCGCGAGAAUCAGCUGUGGCCAGUGAGGACCAGACUCCCCUGGCCAGCUGCUUCUGGCCAGAUUCAGAGGAUUUUCCAAACUUCAGCUCUGGCUGGACCCUUGGGUGUCAAACCAUGAAAUUCUCUGCCUGCCUGCUGUCUUCUUUCUGAAACACUCAGCAUCACCUUCUUCCCUCUUUCUGAUCAAUAAAGACAAAACAAACCUUCAACUCUUUCUACCUCCCCACACCUUUCCUGCCGUCUGCCGAGAACACACCUCUUCCGGAGGCCGCCUCCCCAGCGAAGGGAGGGAAGCCCCAGCCAUACCGGACGUGCACACACUCCCUUCUGCCAACAUACCUCUCACUUGGCUCCGACGUGCUCAGCCCACCCUUUUGCUCUUGACGAUUCUCUCUCACACACACCUCCCGAGGUCCAGGCCACUGGCCAGGAUGGGACUGGGAGCAAGGUGGGACCCUUCAGCAUUGGGACCCCACUCUGUAAGGACACUAAGUUCUAGGGCUAGGAUGGGAGAGGAUGCUGAUUGUCAAGGUCGGGUGCAAACGGGGUUGAGAAAGACAGCACAGGGGAAGGGCGGUCACAUGCAGAUCCCGGCCUCACAGGCAGGCUGGGGUCAAGGCCUGGGAAGGAAGAGCCCUCCACGCAGUCUGUGAGCACCAACGUGCCUGCCUUCCAGCCUGGGCACUCAAGUGUGCUGAACAGAGCGGGAACACAACAAAUCAGUGGGGCCAUUCGGCUCCAGCGCUGUUGGGCCACUGACCUGGCCUCUGAUCAGAGCUUGGGAGCUUGGGCACCACACACGGGCCUGCCUCCACCAGGCACGAGACAGCCCAGCGCUGUAAGACCCAGAACCCUCCCCCUGCGUCAUGACGCGGACGGGCAGGGCCUGGCUGAGACCGGAGGCACUGCUCUGGGCACAUGCGGGCCCUGCUGAGCGCCCUAUGGGCCGGUUCUCACCUGGCCAGCCUGACCCUUCUCAGAAACUGGAACCCAGGGGCCGGGUGCUCUUGUAUCUUACGGGGCUUCUCACACAGGUGACCCGGAGGCCAGGGUGGGAGUCGGCCUGUGGGGUGACGCCUGCGGGUGGUGAGCUAAUGUAACCACCUGGGCACUCCCAGGUCCAGCAGCAGUCUCUCUGCCACAUCUUUAUCCGGAGCCCAGGACGAUGGCUUAGGCUGCUUCUGCUAGAUGUUAAUGCCAGUG
This is a long non-coding RNA of Heterocephalus glaber (naked mole-rat), 2017 nucleotides long. The record is from Ensembl. Lineage: Eukaryota; Metazoa; Chordata; Mammalia; Rodentia; Bathyergidae.